GACGAACGCUGGCGGCGUGCCUAACACAUGCAAGUCGAACGGAAAGGCCCGGCUUUUGCGCGGUGCUCGAGUGGCGAACGGGGGAGUAACACGUGAGUAUCACCCCCCUGACUGAGGGAUAACUUCAGGAAACACGGGCUAUUACCCCGUAGGAGCUCUUGCUGCAUGUUGGGGGUUGGUAAGUUUCGGCGGUUGGGGAUGGACUCGCUGCUUAUCAGCCUGAUGGUGGGGUAGUGGCUUACCAAGGCUAUGACGGGUAGCCGGCCUGAGAGGGUGACCGGCCACAAUGGGACUGAGAUACGGCCCAGACUGCUACGGGAGGCAGCAGUGGAGAAUAUUGCACAGUGGGCGGAAGCCUGAUGUAGCAGCGCCGCGUGCGGGAUGACGGCCUUCGGGUUGUGAACAGCUUUCGCCUGUGCCGAAGCGUGAGUGACGGUAAUGGGUAAAGAAGCACCGGCUAACUACGUG
This 468-nucleotide ribosomal RNA is filed under the name uncultured bacterium. RNAcentral's name for it is "partial 16S ribosomal RNA". It matches the Rfam family "Bacterial small subunit ribosomal RNA", at positions 28 to 507 of the family's 1533-position model. The record is from RNAcentral.